UACGGGGGGAGCAAGCGUUGUUCGGAUUUACUGGGCGUAAAGGGCGCGUAGGCGGUCACGUCAAGUCAGUUGUGAAAUCUCCGGGCUUAACUCGGAACGGGCAACUGAUACUGUCGGACUAGAGUGCAGAAGGGGCAACUGGAAUUCUCGGUGUAGCGGUGAAAUGCGUAGAUAUCGAGAGGAACACCUGCGGCGAAGGCGGGUUGCUGGGCUGACACUGACGCUGAGGCGCGAAAGCUAGGGGAGCGAACGGG
RNAcentral lists this ribosomal RNA (254 nucleotides) under uncultured bacterium. RNAcentral describes it as "partial 16S ribosomal RNA". It matches the Rfam family "Bacterial small subunit ribosomal RNA", at positions 524 to 776 of the family's 1533-position model. The record is from RNAcentral.